RNAcentral lists this ribosomal RNA (471 nucleotides) under uncultured Streptococcus sp. Its description in RNAcentral is "bacterial SSU rRNA". It matches the Rfam family "Bacterial small subunit ribosomal RNA", at positions 908 to 1382 of the family's 1533-position model. Lineage: Bacteria; Bacillati; Bacillota; Bacilli; Lactobacillales; Streptococcaceae. The record is from RNAcentral.
AAUUGACGGGGCCGCACAAGCGGUGGAGCAUUGUGGUUUAAUUCGAAGCAACGCGAAGAACCUUACCAGGUCUUGACAUCCGAUGCUAUUUCUAGAGAUAGAAAGUUACUUCGGUACAUCGGUGACAGGUGGUGCAUGGUUGUCGUCAGCUCGUGUCGUGAGAUGUUGGGUUAAGUCCCGCAACGAGCGCAACCCCUAUUGUUAGUUGCCAUCAUUCAGUUGGGCACUCUAGCGAGACUGCCGGUAAUAAACCGGAGGAAGGUGGGGAUGACGUCAAAUCAUCAUGCCCCUUAUGACCUGGGCUACACACGUGCUACAAUGGUUGGUACAACGAGUUGCGAGUCGGUGACGGCGAGCUAAUCUCUUAAAGCCAACCUCAGUUCGGAUUGUAGGCUGCAACUCGCCCACAUGAAGUCGGAAUCGCUAGUAAUCGCGGAUCAGCACGCCGCGGUGAAUACGUUCCCGGGCCUU